UACGUAGGUGGCAAGCGUUGUCCGGAUUUACUGGGCGUAAAGAGCGCGCAGGCGGUUGUGCAAGUCCCGUGUGAAAGCCCCCGGCUCAACUGGGGAGGGUCACGCGAUACUGCUCGACUUGAAGGCAGGAGAGGGAAGUGGAAUUCCCGGUGUAGUGGUGAAAUGCGUAGAUAUCGGGAGGAACACCAGUGGCGAAGGCGACUUCCUGGCCUGUUCUUGACGCUGAGGCGCGAAAGCUAGGGUAGCAAACGGG
RNAcentral lists this ribosomal RNA (253 nucleotides) under uncultured bacterium. RNAcentral describes it as "partial 16S ribosomal RNA". It matches the Rfam family "Bacterial small subunit ribosomal RNA", at positions 524 to 776 of the family's 1533-position model. The record is from RNAcentral.